This 587-nucleotide ribosomal RNA is filed under the name uncultured bacterium. Its description in RNAcentral is "bacterial SSU rRNA". It matches the Rfam family "Bacterial small subunit ribosomal RNA", at positions 125 to 731 of the family's 1533-position model. The record is from RNAcentral.
CCUGCCUUAUACUGGGGGAUAACAUACUGAAAAGUAUGCUAAUACCGCAUAAGACCACGAAGUCACAUGAUUUAGUGGUAAAAACUCCGGUGGUAUAAGAUGGACCCGCGUCUGAUUAGCUAGUAGGUGAGGUAAAUGCUCACCUAGGCGACGAUCAGUAGCCGACCUGAGAGGGUGACCGGCCACAUUGGGACUGAGACACGGCCCAAACUCCUACGGGAGGCAGCAGUGGGGAAUAUUGCACAAUGGAGGGAACUCUGAUGCAGCGACGCCGCGUGAAGGAAGAAGGUUUUCGGAUCGUAAACUUCUAUCAGCAGGGAAGAAAAUGACGGUACCUGACUAAGAAGCCCCGGCUAACUACGUGCCAGCAGCCGCGGUAAUACGUAGGGGGCAAGCGUUAUCCGGAAUUACUGGGUGUAAAGGGUGCGUAGGCGGUAAUGUAAGUCAGGUGUGAAAGCCCGAAGCUCAACUUCGGGAUUGCACUUGAAACUACAUAACUAAGUACAGGAGAGGUGAGUGGAAUUCCUAAUGUAGCGGUGAAAUGCGUAAAUAUUAGGAGGAACACCAGUGGCGAAGGCGACUCUCUG